AACGAACGCUGGCGGCAGGCCUAACACAUGCAAGUCGAGCGCCCCGCAAGGGGAGCGGCGGACGGGUGAGUAACGCGUGGGAAUAUGCCCUUUGCUACGGAAUAGUCUCGGGAAACUGGGGGUAAUACCGUAUACGCCCUUUGGGGGGAAGAUUUAUCGGCGAAGGAUUAGCCCGCGUUGGAUUAGGUAGUUGGUGGGGUAAUGGCCUACCAAGCCGACGAUCCAUAGCUGGUUUGAGAGGAUGAUCAGCCACACUGGGACUGAGACACGGCCCAGACUCCUACGGGAGGCAGCAGUGGGGAAUCUUAGACAAUGGGGGCAACCCUGAUCUAGCCAUGCCGCGUGAGUGAUGAAGGCCUUAGGGUUGUAAAGCUCUUUCAGCUGGGAAGAUAAUGACGGUACCAGCAGAAGAAGCCCCGGCUAACUCCGUG
Molecule: ribosomal RNA, 431 nt
Filed under: uncultured bacterium
Lineage: Bacteria
Description: partial 16S ribosomal RNA
Rfam family: Bacterial small subunit ribosomal RNA
Source: RNAcentral